CGGCUGUAAGCACGCUGCUGCAGCUAACGUUUUCUAGUGCGUAAUCGAGACAUCUCUAGUAUAUUCAAACUACUGCAAAUUAUAAAAAUGGCUUUCAUAAAGUAGUAACCACUUAACUUAAAAAGGGGGAGGGUUAUUUGUUUUUUAUCUGAGUAAGAUUUUUUUUUCGCGCGUACGUUUUUAUUCCUUUUUUUUUCGAUGCUGGUGAUCAAAUACAUUUUUUUUCAAUAUUUAACACUAUAAUGUAUGGGGAAACUCUUUGAUUCAGAAUAUUUCUUUUAUCAUCUGUAUGAUCAUUUUUUUUUUAUCAAAUUGGGGAUCGGAAUAUUUCCAUUCCCCCCCCAAACCCCCCCCCCCCCCCAACCCCCACCCCCCCACCCCUUUUGAAGUCAAAUGGUUGUUCCCUUACCGCUAGAAAAAUUGUCCCAAAAUUUUGAAUUCAGUUCAACGUAAUGAACAUUUAAAUGACACAUAG
This 475-nucleotide long non-coding RNA is filed under the name Mytilus galloprovincialis (Mediterranean mussel). Lineage: Eukaryota; Metazoa; Mollusca; Bivalvia; Mytilida; Mytilidae. The record is from RNAcentral.